Molecule: ribosomal RNA, 497 nt
Filed under: uncultured bacterium
Lineage: Bacteria
Description: partial 16S ribosomal RNA
Rfam family: Bacterial small subunit ribosomal RNA
Source: RNAcentral
GAUGAACGCUGGCGGCGCGCCUAAUACAUGCAAGUCGAGCGAACGGACGAGAUGCUUGCUUCACUGAUGUUAGCGGCGGACGGGUGAGUAACACGUGGAUAACCUGCCUAUAAGACUGGGAUAACUUCGGGAAACCGGAGCUAAUACCGGAUAAUAUUUUGAACCGCAUGGUUCAAAAGUGAAAGAAGGUCUUGCUGUAACUUAUAGAUGGAUCCGAGUUGCAUCAGCUAGUUGGUAAGGUAAAGGCUUCCCAAGGCAAGAAUCAAUACCCGACGUAGAAGGGUGAUCGCCAACAUUGGAACGGAGACCGGGUCAAGACACUUAAGGGAGGAACAAGUAGGGAAUCUUGCGCAAUGGGCGAAGGCCUAACGGAGCAACCCCGCGUGAGUGAGGAAGGUCUUCGAAUCUUAAACCUCUUUGGUUAGGAAAAACCAUGUUUGUAAGGGAAUGUUCAUCACUUGACGGUAACUAACCAGAAAGCCACGGCUAACUACGUG